CCAGUGGACACGUCAAGAAGCCAAAGUCAGACGCUAUCAACUAAAUGAGUCAGACAAACAUCUGACCUUCUGCUUUGGUAGUCAGUGGGGGGGCACACGUUGGCUCCUAUAAUUAAAACCAGUCUGUCAUCAAGGAAAGGUGUGUGUGUGUGUGUGUGUGUGUGUGUGUGUGUGUGU
Pungitius pungitius (ninespine stickleback) is the source of this 177-nucleotide long non-coding RNA. RefSeq lists it as uncharacterized. The record is from RefSeq and is a predicted model, not a curated record. The transcript is spliced from 2 exons. Lineage: Eukaryota; Metazoa; Chordata; Actinopteri; Perciformes; Gasterosteidae.